This is a long non-coding RNA of Eubalaena glacialis (North Atlantic right whale), 826 nucleotides long. RefSeq lists it as uncharacterized. The record is from RefSeq and is a predicted model, not a curated record. NCBI's taxonomy places the organism in Eukaryota, Metazoa, Chordata, Mammalia, Artiodactyla, Balaenidae. The transcript has 3 exons.
CUCGACCCGACUUUCCCUGGCAGCCGGACUCCCAGUCCGCGGGGUCCGGGCUACGACGCCCCGCCAAGGGUCAGGGAUCUCCCAGCAGCUACAGCAGCCAACUCCUUUCCAGGAGACCAGCGAGUGCCCAGGAUGACCUAGCGACACCGCGAAGAACAGAUUGGGGCUCACUCUAGUGCCGAGGUCUGCAAUUGCUUGGUGGAAUAAAAUCUUCCAAAAGGUCUCAAAAGGAAUGCAGUUAGAUUGGAACCUACUUCCUUUUUCAAUCUACACUAAAAUCCCGGGAAAGUGAAAACGCUUCCUUCGCGACCUCUUUGCGCAGAGCUGGUUAGACCCCGGAACCUCCCCAGCCGUGGUUACGAACCCCAACUCCCGCCUCCGCCGGCGGACACCCCGGACUCCCAGGUCUGCGGGACAAAAGGCAGCGGUGCCGUCUCGAGCGCUUUCCCACGCGGUCCACUGAAAACCUAAUUGCCUGAAAGAAGUUGCACUUCGUCGCCAGAGGAACAGCCGAGAGCCAGAGAUGGAGAUUUCAGAGUCCGGUGCUGCCACGUUUUUACUGAUCCUUUAGCCCCAACGGAACGAAACAGAGGUGCCUUUUUGCUACCAGCUAAUUACCUUCACAUGAAGAAGAAAUGUAGUACAAGCUCCACGUUUGUCCUCUCAAUAGUCGAUCCUCCCUAACCCAGUACCCAAAGGCUCUAGAAAAUGAGGGGGAUGGGUUCCCGAAAACAAAAAAAGCUUUCCGCCAGCACUGCCUCUGCAUCAAGUCCACCCAAGCUGGGAUUUGUAUAUUAGAUAUAGAAUGGGCCGGAGUGGGUGGUAA